CACGUUUUCUUAAUCACAAUCAAUCGAUAAUCAACAAGUCAUUAGCAUCAAAUUUGGAUACCAUGUGUAUAGGACUUUUGUGCAUUAGAUAUCCUGCCCUUUAGGAUUUUAUUUGCAACUUUCAAAACACUUCGCUAAAUUGGUAAAAUUGGUUAACGACUAUCCUUUUAAAACAUGAAGCAAAUGUGCAUGCUCACCAUCUUUAAUAACGCCUAGGCAAGCCAUAGGCCGGAUAAAAAAUGACUAAUCACCUUUAAGUCGUGUUCAAAUUAACUCGCCUCUGUCUGUACUCGUUUGUCUCUGAAGUCCUCUAAUUUUAUACAAACUUCUGCCCUAUUUUUAAACUAUCUAUGCAAAAGGUUUUUACUGUAUUUCUUGUCCAAAAUUGGACUACUAUUUCAACUAUCUGGAUACUGUACUUUUCAAAAUCUCAAAAGCUAGUAUGUUUAUUGUCUCUCUUUACACUUCUGCAAUCUUAAAAUAUUUUCAUACUUGCCCUUUCACUCUACCUAUCCGAAAAACUAUUUUACCAUAUGUCCCGCAAAUGUUUUUCUAAGUAAUUUCUGCAAAUUACUAAAACUGCUACUGCCUUCUUAAAGUUCUGAACGCUAUUCUUACGACCUCUUUGUCCAGAAUUGGACUACUAUUUCAACUAUCUGAAUACUGUAAUUUUCAAAAGCUCAAAAGCUAGUAUGUUUACUGACUCUCUUUACACUUCUGCAAUCUCAAAAUAUUUUCAUAUUUGUCCUUCCACUCUGCCUGUCCGAAAAACUGUUUUACCAUAUGUUCCACAAAUGUUUUUUCUUAGUAAUUUCUGCAGAUUACCAAAACUGCUACUGCCUUCAUAAAGUUCUGAACGUUUUUCUUACGACCUCUUUUCUGCAAAAACUCUCCAUCUUCUGGUUUUAACUUAUACUCCAGCUUUCUAAAACUCUCUCUCUUCCUUAAGACUUUAAAUGUGUCUGAGACGCGCUAAUUACGUGUUUAUUCUUAGGUGGUAUUUGAGAUUUUUAUAUGUUUAUAUGAUCCCCUUAUGUGCAAGUCCUAUUUACUCUUAUAUGUCGUCUAGCAUUUUAACCUUUAAACAUAAGGGUUCAGCCUAGCUCCUACCUUAUAGGAAUAGUAUUCCUAGCCCUCUAGGAUCUAUAGGAUGGGACGGGUAAUAGCACGCAGUAAGUAUUCGUGACCAA
This 1190-nucleotide long non-coding RNA is filed under the name Nicotiana benthamiana. Its description in RNAcentral is "long non-coding RNA (NBEN_LNC036786)". Lineage: Eukaryota; Viridiplantae; Streptophyta; Magnoliopsida; Solanales; Solanaceae. The record is from RNAcentral.